Molecule: long non-coding RNA, 387 nt
Filed under: Homo sapiens (human)
Lineage: Eukaryota; Metazoa; Chordata; Mammalia; Primates; Hominidae
Description: HSALNT0152870
Source: RNAcentral
AUCCCUUCCUCAGAGAACUUCCAUUCAGAUGGGGGCAGAUGCAUAAAAAUCCAUAGCAUAGUGAUUCAGUCACACAAUAUGUUAGAAGGUGGUAUGUGAGCCAGGCGUGCUUGUGUGAGCCUGUAAUCCCAACUACUUAGGAGGCUGAGGUGGGAGGAUUGCUUGAGACCAGGAGUUCAAGCUAUAAUACGAUCUUGGAUGGGAACAGGUGGGAGUCAGGGUUUGUUUACACGUAAGUGAGAACUUUAAUGAGUUAUCUUCAGAAGCAGUGAAUGCCCCAUCCCUGGAGAUAGUUAAUCAGGGAGCAGCUGACUACUACCAGAAGGCUGCGUAAGGAAUAAGAUAUGAGUAAAGGCCCUUCUGGGUCUGGGUGCUAGGGACUUGAAG